This 465-nucleotide ribosomal RNA is filed under the name Vreelandella stevensii. RNAcentral describes it as "partial 16S ribosomal RNA". It matches the Rfam family "Bacterial small subunit ribosomal RNA", at positions 338 to 795 of the family's 1533-position model. Lineage: Bacteria; Pseudomonadati; Pseudomonadota; Gammaproteobacteria; Oceanospirillales; Halomonadaceae. The record is from RNAcentral.
CCUACGGGGGGCUGCAGUGGGGAAUAUUGGACAAUGGGGGGAACCCUGAUCCAGCCAUGCCGCGUGUGUGAAGAAGGCCCUCGGGUUGUAAAGCACUUUCAGUGAGGAAGAACGCCUGGUGGUUAAUACCCAUCAGGAAAGACAUCACUCACAGAAGAAGCACCGGCUAACUCCGUGCCAGCAGCCGCGGUAAUACGGAGGGUGCGAGCGUUAAUCGGAAUUACUGGGCGUAAAGCGCGCGUAGGUGGCUUGAUAAGCCGGUUGUGAAAGCCCCGGGCUCAACCUGGGAACGGCAUCCGGAACUGUCAAGCUAGAGUGCAGGAGAGGAAGGUAGAAUUCCCGGUGUAGCGGUGAAAUGCGUAGAGAUCGGGAGGAAUACCAGUGGCGAAGGCGGCCUUCUGGACUGACACUGACACUGAGGUGCGAAAGCGUGGGUAGCAAACAGGAUUAGAUACACGUGUAGUC